GAAGCACCGGCUAACUACGUGCCAGCAGCCGCGGUGAUACGUAGGGUGCGAGCGUUGUCCGGAUUUAUUGGGCGUAAAGAGCUCGUAGGUGGUUGAUCACGUCGGAAGUGAAAACUUGGGGCUUAACCCUGGGCGUGCUUUCGAUACGGGUUGACUUGAGGAAGGUAGGGGAGAAUGGAAUUCCUGGUGGAGCGGUGGAAUGCGCAGAUAUCAGGAGGAACACCAGUGGCGAAGGCGGUUCUCUGGACCUUUCCUGACGCUGAGGAGCGAAAGCGUGGGGAGCAAACAGGCUUAGAUACCCCUGGUAGUCCACGCUGUAAACGGUGGGUACUAGGUGUGGGGUCCAUUCCACGGAUUCCGUGCCGUAGCUAACGCAUUAAGUACCCCCGCCUGGGGAGUACGGCCGCAAGGCUAAAAACUCAAAAGGAAGUUGACGGGGGCCCCCGCACAAGCGGCGGAGCAUGCGGAUUAAUUCGAUGCG
This 481-nucleotide ribosomal RNA is filed under the name uncultured bacterium. RNAcentral's name for it is "bacterial SSU rRNA". It matches the Rfam family "Bacterial small subunit ribosomal RNA", at positions 487 to 958 of the family's 1533-position model. The record is from RNAcentral.